GUCACUUCUGGGCCAUUAAGCUAAGAUCCAGUGUAGUAUCCGUUGUUAUCAGUUUAAUGUCUGAUACACCUCCAUCUGAGAACAAUAUAUUAAGUAGAUUUUGGGAUUAGGAAGAUGGACUAGAAGUUUAUUGCAUCCACUCCACUCAUCAACUUGGUAUUGCAAAAUCUGAAAUAGAGAAGAAAAACCC
Molecule: small nuclear RNA, 190 nt
Organism: Otolemur garnettii (small-eared galago)
Lineage: Eukaryota; Metazoa; Chordata; Mammalia; Primates; Galagidae
Gene: U2
Rfam family: U2 spliceosomal RNA
About the family: U2 is a small nuclear RNA (snRNA) component of the spliceosome (involved in pre-mRNA splicing).
Source: Ensembl